This 308-nucleotide ribosomal RNA is filed under the name uncultured bacterium. RNAcentral's name for it is "bacterial SSU rRNA". It matches the Rfam family "Bacterial small subunit ribosomal RNA", at positions 488 to 793 of the family's 1533-position model. The record is from RNAcentral.
GGCACCGGCGUAACUCCGUGCCAGCAGCCGCGGUAAUACGGAGGGUGCAAGCGUUAUCCGGAAUCAUUGGUUUAAAGGGUCCGCAGGCGGUCAAUUAAGUCAGAGGUGAAAUCCUACAGCUUAACUGUAGAACUGCCUUUGAUACUGGUUGACUUGAGUAAUACGGAAGUAGGUAGAAUGUGUAGUGUAGCGGUGAAAUGCAUAGAUAUUACACAGAAUACCGAUUGCGAAGGCAGCCUACUACGUAUUUUACUGACGCUCAUGGACGAAAGCGUGGGGGAGCGAACAGGAUUAGAUACCCCUGGUAG